CUGCAAACGAGGAGAUGAGAUGAGAUGAGACGAGAUGAGAUGAGACGAGAUGAGAUGAGACAAAGCGCUGCCGCCUGCACUUCCCUUCGCUUCCCUGCCCUUCCCACGCCGAGGGUUUCGGUGGCUCAUCGCAGGGAGCAGCUCUGAUCCACCCGGACGGGGCUGCGAGGCUCUGCCAGCCGCCCACACCGACCACCCCACACACUGCCCACAGCCCCGGGGCUCCCAGGGGUUGGCACCUGGAGGGACAGGAGGGGAGAGGAAAGCACAAGCCUUCCGUCCUCCUUCCCGAGAUGGGGGUCGUGUGUCUUCCCGAUUUGGGAUCAUCAGAGCCGCCCCAACACGCAGAAGAGCCCCCAGGACACCUCAUUUCCUCUCCUGCACUUCUCAAGCUUGGCCUGUUCUUCCACGGGCGGCAUUUUCAGCUUUCGCAGCACUGAAGCAGACGGGUUUGUCUGGUCUGAGGGCGGCUGAAGGGAUACAAAGGAGCUGUGGCUGCUGCAGCUGCGCUUGGCUCCAUCCCUCCACAUUUGCCCUGCUUUUAUUCUUGUCCUUUCCAGGUGAGCUGUUCUGGCACCAAACCCCUCUCAGGGACACCGAAAUGGUUUCACAUGACUUAAAGAGGCCUUUCGUUGGACCAGGAUCUGCUGCUUCCAUUGUUCCAGUGGAGCCCACGGCCAUCGGGAGCUGCUGCCGGGGACCGGCCCAGCUGCUGGUGUGAGGCAGGGCCGGACACGGGAGCCCUGGGAGUGCUCGAGGCUGCUCCUUUCUCCUCACUCCUCUCUCCGAGUCAGCACCACUUAACGUGACGGGAGCAAAUUGGUGCUAAUGAAGUGCCGGAGUCAGGCAGCAGCCGGCAGGGCCCGGAGGGAUGGCAGUGCGGAGGGGAUGAGCUCAGGGUAUUCCAGGAUUCUGCCAUUCUGUGAGGACGAGGUAAUGCUGGACAAGGAGCCUUGUCCGGGGUGGCGUCCCUGUGACACUCAUGGCAUUGCCUGCCCUCUGUCCUCGUCCCUUCAUGCAGGAAAGCAGCAGCAAGGAUCUCCCUUCGGCAUCAGGGAUUCCCACCAGCCUGUCCCUGCCUCCAGCUGCUCCUGGACCUGAGGGUCUGAGCAGCUGGACAAUGAACAAACUCAGCGUCAAUGACACAUCUUUCAUCGGAGCCUGUGUUGGUCCUGAGCUGGUCUCAGCAGAGAUGGUGUCCAGGAGGGCCCAGAGCCAUCAUCAGCCACAGAAUGUGUGCUGGAGAGAGGGAAAAGCAGUGGGGGAAAAAACCCAAGAGUUUUCUGCAUUUCCUGAUUA
Corvus hawaiiensis (hawaiian crow) is the source of this 1299-nucleotide long non-coding RNA. RefSeq lists it as uncharacterized. The record is from RefSeq and is a predicted model, not a curated record. NCBI's taxonomy places the organism in Eukaryota, Metazoa, Chordata, Aves, Passeriformes, Corvidae. The transcript is spliced from 3 exons.